AUUGAACGCUGGCGGCAUGCCUUACACAUGCAAGUCGAACGGCAGCACGGGAGCAAUCCUGGUGGCGAGUGGCGAACGGGUGAGUAAUAUAUCGGAACGUGCCCAGUCGUGGGGGAUAACGUAGCGAAAGCUACGCUAAUACCGCAUACGAUCUAUGGAUGAAAGCGGGGGAUCGCAAGACCUCGCGCGAUUGGAGCGGCCGAUAUCAGAUUAGGUAGUUGGUGAGGUAAAGGCUCACCAAGCCGACGAUCUGUAGCUGGUCUGAGAGGACGACCAGCCACACUGGGACUGAGACACGGCCCAGACUCCUACGGGA
Molecule: ribosomal RNA, 316 nt
Filed under: uncultured bacterium
Lineage: Bacteria
Description: bacterial SSU rRNA
Rfam family: Bacterial small subunit ribosomal RNA
Source: RNAcentral